This 1268-nucleotide ribosomal RNA is filed under the name Metacrangonyx sp. 3 ssp. 1 MDMBR-2012. Its description in RNAcentral is "bacterial SSU rRNA". It matches the Rfam family "Eukaryotic small subunit ribosomal RNA", at positions 757 to 1626 of the family's 1831-position model. Lineage: Eukaryota; Metazoa; Arthropoda; Malacostraca; Amphipoda; Metacrangonyctidae. The record is from RNAcentral.
UUGAGUAAAUCAGAGUGCUCAAAGCAGUCGUAAAGGGCCUCGGCCCUGUGAUAAGUCUUGACGGACUGUCUUGAUUUUGCAUGGUAUGUCGGAAAACGACGUCGAGUGCUGGCUCAGAGUCUAUAGAAGUGGUUUCAAGCCAAAGCCUCGACGUAAUGAUUAAAAGGAACGGUCGAGGGCAUUGGUAUUGCGAGGCGAGAGGUGAAAUUCUAUGACCCCCGCAAGACCGCCUGAAGCGAAAGCGUCUGCCAAGGACGUUUUCAUUAAUCAUGAACGAAAGUUAGAGGAUCGAAGGCGAUCAGAUACCGCCCUAGUUCUGACCCUAAACGAUGCCAACCAUCAAUCCGCGUGAGCACCCUUUUUGACGGGCUCGGCGGGCAGCUCUCUUUUCACGGGAAACCAGAGUCUCUGGGUUCCGGGGGGAGUCUGGUUGCAAAGCUGAAACUUAAAGGAAUUGACGGAAAGGCACCACCAGGAGUGGAGCCUGCGGCUUAAUUUGACUCAACACGGGCCAUCUCACCAGGCCAGAACUCUAGCACGAUUGACAGAUUGAGAGCUCUUUCUCGAUUGAGUGGAUGGUGGUGCAUGGCCGUUCUUAGUUGGUGGAGUGAUCUGUCUGGUUAAUUCCGAUAACGAACGAGACUCUCCCCUGCUAACUAGUCGGUUGGAUCUUGUGUUUCGAUGCGAGUCGUGCGCCGGGUUUUCCUUCGCCUCGCGGCGGCGGUUCGAGUUUUUCCGGUCGCUCGCUGGGUGCGUGUGUGUGUGUGCGCGCGCGUGCGUGUGCGCGCGUGUGCGUGCUUUUUGCCUCUGGUCAUUUCUCUCCGGAAGUGGCUGGGCGGGAGCGCGCGCGCGUGUGUGUGCGUGUGUGUGUGUGUGUGCGCGCGCGCUUCGGCGAUGUUGGCCGGGCUCUGCCGUUCUCGUUGCUUGGCGUGUCUGGUUUUCCCGGGUCGCACACUCCAAGUCCGCCGCUUAUGCUAUAAAACUCUUCUUAGAGGGAUCAACGGCUCUGAAGCCGUACGAGACUGAGAGCAAUAACAGGUCUGUGAUGCCCUUAGAUGUUCUGGGCCGCACGCGCGCUACAAUGCCGGGCACAGCAGGUGUUUUCCCUACUCCGAAAGGAGCGGGCAACCCUCUGAAAGCCCCAUCUCGUAUAUCAAAUGUAUCGGCCGGCGAGCACACAAACGCUCGUCGGUCGUGUGUGUGUUGGCGUGCUUGGGCCUGGGGCUUGCAAUUCUUUCCCACAAACGAGGAAUGCCUAGUAGCGGCGG